UUGAACGCUGGCGGCAGGCCUAACACAUGCAAGUCGAGCGGAUGAAGGGAGCUUGCUCCUGGAUUCAGCGGCGGACGGGUGAGUAAUGACUAGGAAUCUGCCUGGUAGUGGGGGAUAACGUCCGGAAACGGGCGCUAAUACCGCAUACGUCCUGAGGGAGACAGUGGGGGAUCUUCGGACCUCACGCUAUCAGAUGAGCCUAGGUCGGAUUAGCUAGUUGGUGGGGUAAAGGCCUACCAAGGCGACGAUCCGUAACUGGUCUGAGAGGAUGAUCAGUCACACUGGAACUGAGACACGGUCCAGACUCCUACGGGAGGCAGCAGUGGGGAAUAUUGGACAGUGGGCGAAAGCCUGAUCCAGCCAGGCCGCGUGUGUGAAGAAGGUCUUCGGAUUGUAAAGCACUUUAAGUUGGGAGGAAGGGCAGUAAGUUAAUACCUUGCUGUUUUGACGUUACCAACAGAAUAAGCACCGGCUAACUUCGUG
This 483-nucleotide ribosomal RNA is filed under the name uncultured bacterium. RNAcentral's name for it is "partial 16S ribosomal RNA". It matches the Rfam family "Bacterial small subunit ribosomal RNA", at positions 30 to 507 of the family's 1533-position model. The record is from RNAcentral.